CAAGGAAUUUUCCCCAAUGGGCUCACGCCUGAGGGAGCAACGCCGCGUGGGGGAUGACGGCCUUCGGGUUGUAAACUCCUUUUGGGUGGGAUGAUUGUGACAGUACCAUCCGAAUAAGCCCCGGCUAACUCCGUGCCAGCAGCCGCGGUAAGACGGAGGGGGCAAGCGUUGUCCGGACUCACUGGGCGUAAAGCGCACGUAGGCGGUUGUGUGCGUCGCUGCUGAAAGCGCCAGGCUUAACUUGGCGAGGCGUGGCGAUACGACACGACUAGAGGCAGGCAGAGGGUGGCGGAAUUCCGGGUGUAGUGGUGAAAUGCGUAGAGAUCCGGAGGAACGCCUGUGGCGCAAGCGGCCACCUGGGCCUGACCUGACGCUGAGGUGCGAAAGCGUGGGGAGCGAACCGG
RNAcentral lists this ribosomal RNA (404 nucleotides) under uncultured bacterium. RNAcentral's name for it is "bacterial SSU rRNA". It matches the Rfam family "Bacterial small subunit ribosomal RNA", at positions 355 to 776 of the family's 1533-position model. The record is from RNAcentral.